CCUACGGGUGGCAGCAGUCGAGAAUCAUUCACAAUGGGGGAAACCCUGAUGGUGCGACGCCGCGUGGGGGAAUGAAGGUCUUCGGAUUGUAAACCCCUGUCAUGUGGGAGCAAAUUAAAAAGAUAGUACCACAAGAGGAAGAGACGGCUAACUCUGUGCCAGCAGCCGCGGUAAUACAGAGGUCGCAAGCGUUGUUCGGAAUCACUGGGCGUAAAGGGUGCGUAGGCUGUUUCGUAAGUCGUGUGUGAAAGGCGCGGGCUCAACCCGCGGACGGGACAUGAUACUGCGAGACUAGAGUAAUGGAGGGGGAACCGGAAUUCUCGGUGUAGCAGUGAAAUGCGUAGAUAUCGAGAGGAACACUCGUGGCGAAGGCGGGUUCCUGGACAUUAACUGACGCUGAGGCACGAAGGCCAGGGGAGCGAAAGGGAUUAGAUACCCUUGUAGUC
This 446-nucleotide ribosomal RNA is filed under the name uncultured bacterium. RNAcentral describes it as "partial 16S ribosomal RNA". It matches the Rfam family "Bacterial small subunit ribosomal RNA", at positions 338 to 795 of the family's 1533-position model. The record is from RNAcentral.